RNAcentral lists this ribosomal RNA (314 nucleotides) under uncultured soil bacterium. Its description in RNAcentral is "bacterial SSU rRNA". It matches the Rfam family "Bacterial small subunit ribosomal RNA", at positions 1082 to 1397 of the family's 1533-position model. The record is from RNAcentral.
AAGUCCCGUAACGAGCGCAACCUUUGCCCUUAGUUACCACAUUCAGUUGGGGACUCUAAGGGGACUGCCGGUGUCAAACCGGAGGAAGGUGGAGAUGACGUCAAGUCCUCAUGGCCUUUAUGCCCAGGGCCACACACGUGCUACAAUGGCGUGCACAAAGCGAACCGAGGCCGCAAGGUGGAGGAAAACGCAUAAAUCACGCCCCAGUUCAGAUCGGAGGCUGCAACUCGCCUCCGUGAAGUUGGAAUCGCUAGUAAUCGCGGAUCAGCUACGCCGCGGUGAAUGUGUUCCUGAGCCUUGUACACACCGCCCGU